Sorghum bicolor (sorghum) is the source of this 109-nucleotide microRNA precursor. It matches the Rfam family "MIR5565 microRNA precursor family". The record is from Rfam. NCBI's taxonomy places the organism in Eukaryota, Viridiplantae, Streptophyta, Magnoliopsida, Poales, Poaceae.
GUAGUGAGAUUCGUAUCAAUCCACAUGUAUUGAGCUGGGUUAGAGUGGAACUUGAACUAAAUUCCACCUCAAUCCACUCCAAUACAUGUGGAUUGAGAUGAAUCCGACA